This 178-nucleotide ribosomal RNA is filed under the name uncultured bacterium. Its description in RNAcentral is "partial 16S ribosomal RNA". It matches the Rfam family "Bacterial small subunit ribosomal RNA", at positions 353 to 529 of the family's 1533-position model. The record is from RNAcentral.
UGUUGGAAUAUUGGGACAAUGGGUGAGAGCCUGAUCCAGCCAUCCCGCGUGAAGGAUGACGGCCCUAUGGGUUGUAAACUUCUUUUGUAUAGGGAUAAACCUAGAUACGUGUAUCUAGCUGAAGGUACUAUACGAAUAAGCACCGGCUAACUCCGUGCCAGCAGCCGCGGUAAAUGAA